UGGGGAAUUUUGGACAAUGGGCGAAAGCCUGAUCCAGCAAUGCCGCGUGCAGGAAGAAGGCCUUCGGGUUGUAAACUGCUUUUGUACGGAACGAAAAGGCUCUUUCUAAUAAAGAGGGCCCAUGACGGUACCGUAAGAAUAAGCACCGGCUAACUACGUGCCAGCAGCCGCGGUAAUACGUAGGGUGCGAGCGUUAAUCGGAAUUACUGGGCGUAAAGCGUGCGCAGGCGGUUCUAUAAGACAGAUGUGAAAUCCCCGGGCUCAACCUGGGAAUGGCAUUUGUGACUGUAGAGCUAGAGUACGGUAGAGGGGGAUGGAAUUCCGCGUGUAGCAGUGAAAUGCGUAGAUAUGCGGAGGAACACCGAUGGCGAAGGCAAUCCCCUGGACCUGUACUGACGCUCAUGCACGAAAGCGUGGGGAGCAAACAGGAUUAGAUACCCUCGUAGUCCCUGAGCGGGCUGGCAAGGCGCAU
This 472-nucleotide ribosomal RNA is filed under the name uncultured bacterium. Its description in RNAcentral is "bacterial SSU rRNA". It matches the Rfam family "Bacterial small subunit ribosomal RNA", at positions 355 to 825 of the family's 1533-position model. The record is from RNAcentral.